UCGGACAGCGACUUCAAAGUCAUUUGUAGAAGGCUAAACAUUUGGACGACGGAUACACUGGAUAAGGUAGAUGGUCCAGCCUUAUCUGGGAAUGACACGACGGGUGUUGAACACAGAAAACGUGCCAUGUACAAGAAACAAUUGGAGUUUAUGAAAGCUUCAAGGAAUUAA
Molecule: long non-coding RNA, 171 nt
Filed under: Lytechinus variegatus (green sea urchin)
Lineage: Eukaryota; Metazoa; Echinodermata; Echinoidea; Temnopleuroida; Toxopneustidae
Description: uncharacterized LOC121415964
Source: RNAcentral